ACGCUCGACACCUACGGGAGCAGCAGUGGGGAAUAUUGCACAAUGGGGGAAACCCUGAUGCAGCGACGCCGCGUGAGCGAAGAAGUAUUUCGGUAUGUAAAGCUCUAUCAGCAGGGAAGAAACUGACGGUACCUGACUAAGAAGCACCCGGCUAAAUACGUGCCAGCAGCCGCGGUAAUCUGAGCGGGCUGGCAAGGC
RNAcentral lists this ribosomal RNA (198 nucleotides) under uncultured bacterium. Its description in RNAcentral is "partial 16S ribosomal RNA". It matches the Rfam family "Bacterial small subunit ribosomal RNA", at positions 328 to 539 of the family's 1533-position model. The record is from RNAcentral.